CUUAUACACAUUGUUAUGCCCAUGAACUGCAUCAAUCCCAUAUAUCAUCGGAAUCCCGAGACGGGUGGAUAAAGCCGCCUUCUGCAUCGCAUUCACCGUCUCGA
Hibiscus syriacus is the source of this 104-nucleotide long non-coding RNA. RefSeq lists it as uncharacterized. NCBI's taxonomy places the organism in Eukaryota, Viridiplantae, Streptophyta, Magnoliopsida, Malvales, Malvaceae. The transcript has 3 exons. The record is from RefSeq and is a predicted model, not a curated record.